GGGCCCGUGGCCUAGCCAGGAUAAGGCGGCAAGCGAAAUCGCCCGCAAGCCUUCUAUCGCCUGGAGGAAAGCUGCACAUCGCGGGUUCGAAUCCCGCCGGGCCCG
This 105-nucleotide transfer RNA is filed under the name Hadesarchaea archaeon. RNAcentral's name for it is "tRNA-OTHER". It matches the Rfam family "tRNA". From Rfam's summary of the family: Transfer RNA (tRNA) molecules are approximately 80 nucleotides in length. Their secondary structure includes four short double-helical elements and three loops (D, anti-codon, and T loops). Further hydrogen bonds mediate the characteristic L-shaped molecular structure. tRNAs have two regions of fundamental functional importance: the anti-codon, which is responsible for specific mRNA codon recognition, and the 3' end, to which the tRNAs corresponding amino acid is attached (by aminoacyl-tRNA synthetases). tRNAs cope with the degeneracy of the genetic code in two manners: having more than one tRNA (with a specific anti-codon) for a particular amino acid; and 'wobble' base-pairing, i.e. permitting non-standard base-pairing at the 3rd anti-codon position. Lineage: Archaea; Methanobacteriati; Hadarchaeota (SeqCode); Hadarchaeia (SeqCode). The record is from RNAcentral.